Molecule: long non-coding RNA, 1033 nt
Filed under: Homo sapiens (human)
Lineage: Eukaryota; Metazoa; Chordata; Mammalia; Primates; Hominidae
Description: HSALNT0202686
Source: RNAcentral
GAUCCGAAUGAUGAGGAAACCAGCUCUGUGAAGAUCAGAAGGACCAGCCUGUACAAAGGCCCAAAGUUGGGAAGAAAAGGUGAAGAUGGGCAGAAAAAUGAACCAUCAAAAAAGAAGAAGGAGGAUCAAUGCAUGACUCAUGAAUCAGUCUUGCUUUACUGAAAAGUUUCAGAAAACUCAAGAUUUUCUUCAUGCACUCAAUUUGUGGUAAUACAACCUCAAGCAAAUCGUAUAUUUAUCUGAUAUGUGCAUGCUGGAAACUUUCCGUCUCAUACUUUCCAGAAUCUCAGGACUCACCCAGCACAAGAGGGGGCUGGAAUUUGGAAAACAUAAGAUUGAUUUUAAACCUAAAGACUCAGUGAAGAUUUCUGUAUCUGAAUCUCUCUGCCUACCUAUUAAAUGUUGUUCCCAGGGAGAUCAGCUCCAACUGGAACCAGAGUGAAGCUUCUAUUCCCCUAUCCAUGGACAACACCUUCACCCACCUAGGCAUCUAGACAUCUAGACACAGACCUAUGUCCCACCUAGAGAUCUAGGCACUGAGACAUCUAGAUACCUAGAUAUGUCUAGACAUCUUCCCAGCAAAAAAUCCCAAUCCAACUCGCUCCUGGUCAUUCCUACUUGGAUGUCUCACAGACACUUCAAAAUCAAUGUUGUAAACGAAAUUAAUCCUCUAUCUCCUGACCCUCAAUGGCCCUCCCUCAUCAUUUGUGUCUUGCAGAAUGACCCCACCAUUCACCAGUUUUUCCAGCUGAAACCCAGGAGGCCACAACAGGAUUUGAGCGGCCUAUAGAGAUCCAAAUGCUACUGACAGCAGCACUGAGGGCCCACUCAACUGCAGGAUGAGGGGCCCUGGCAUGACAGGUACUCCUGAUGAGUACUUUAGCCAUCCUGCUCCAAACUGCUUCACUCGCUUUAUCCCUGCAAUUGCCUAAGAUAACAGUCCCCAGAACUGAUUAGCCAGUUUCAUCUAAGGUGGGGUCCGCAAACUGGUUAAUUUUCCAAAUAAAGUUUUAUUGGGACUCAGCCACACCCA